UUUUUUAAAUUUUAUUCAUUGUUUCUAUUAUUAUUUUUAAUAGUUAUUUUCCUAAUACAAUUUUUUUUUCUACUGUACAGAAUGGUGACCCAGUUACAUGUACAUGUACACAUUCUAUUUUCUCACAUUAUCAUGCUCCAUCAUAAGUGACUAGACAUAGUUACGAGUGCUACACAGCAGGAUCUCAUUGCUAAUCCAUUUUCAUGAGUUUAAUUUUUUUGAAAGAUUUAUUGGAAUAAAAAAGUGUAUAAUAAUAUUUUGCUCAUUUCUAUGCAAACUUAAGUAGAGUUAUCAUACAAUUUAUAUUCCAAAUUCGGACACAUGGCGAGUAGAUGGGGCACUAUUAAUAAUUACAAAAUAGGUAAACCAAGUCUGUCUUAUGAAAAGUGGGACAUAUAGCCAUUCUAUUAUAAAUAAACAUACAAAAAAGAGAUGGAGAUAUCCUAAAUAGAAACCCACAGAAUUGAAAUACGAUGUGCUUAAAAGAAUCCGGAAAGAGCACUUAACUUUUACACAGAUUCUCAACUGAAAGUAAAGAGGUGGUAUGAAUCAGUAGAAGCAAAGGCUUAUCACAUUUUAAAGAGGGAGAAAUGUUCAGAAAAAUCAAGGAAUGAGAAUUGCACCUGGUUUUGAAUAGACAAUAAUAAAAUGAGGUUGAAGUUAAGAUCAGAGGCUCUUCCUAAAUCUACACAGCUGGAUUGUUUAGAUGUGCUGUUUAUAGAUAGAUAGAUAGAUAGAUAGAUAGAUAGAUAGAUAGAUAGAUAGACAGACAGACAGACAGACAGAUGAAUCUUCUAAUUCUGGAUAAGCAUUCUUUCUCUUGGUUGUCCCUGUAACGUCAUACAUUCCUGUUCUAAAUAUGAUUCAAAGUGAAGUAAAACAACAUCUCAAGUCUGAAUUUUAUUGAGAACACACUACUUUGGAUAACUCACAAAGGCAACAUGGUGCCAAGUUCUUGGUCUAACUGGAAAUGUCACAGUAGUGUCUUGUUAGAAAAGCACAUUCACAGCAUCUUCUAAGGAUGCAGUUAUUUUCAGGUAACACUGUGGAUGCUCCCUAAUCUCCUGCUGGGUGAAGACAGGAUGGUUACAUGGGAAGAUGGGGCUGAUAAUCUGUGUCACAAUUGAGUUCCUGCAGAUCCUGCUGUGCUCAGCACACUCGCCUGCUCUCCUGCAACACACUUUAUUCCCGGGAAAUCCCAGCCACAUCCCUUCCCACUCUUUCCUUAAUAAAUCAUGACCCAAUUUAUUUAUUUAAAGGCCCAUUUUCUUAUUCUAGACUGCAGAGAAUAACUGCAGUUAAUUCUUUUAUAGAGAAAAUAACUUACAUUUUCGGUUUUAUGGCUAGAAAAAAAGCAGGCAGUUGUACUUGUGAGGCUUUAGGUGGACACUAAGAGAUUUAAGGAAAAUGCAACUCUUCCCCCUCUGCUAAGUGCGAUGAAAAAACUUGACCUUUGAGGUAGGUCUGCCAAAUUUUUUUUUGAGAGGAUUAUCAAGCACCUGGAGCCAAGGAGGAGUCCUAGUCUAGCCCAGCCCAGGGAUGCUGCUGUUCCCCUUCAAACCAGUCAUGUAGACCAAUAAUCUGGCUAAUGGUAUGCCUGAAAAAGGCAUUUUUCUCUAGAAACCCACUGAUCAAUUUAUGGGUAACUCAAGCAUAUAAGAAGGUUGCACCUAUUUAAUAGUUCAUUAUUAUAUGCUAUAACAAAUAUUUUAGACUCUAAGAGUGCUAUUUUAAGAAAUCUUGGCUCUAUGUCUUUCAGAUCCAAGCUUGACAGCUAAAUCAAGAGAUUUCUGAAUUGUUGUCAUAAAAGAUAAGCACCUCUUUGAGGAGCUGCUCUAAGUUUCACUGCCCUUUAUGGAUGAUUUUGAAGGAGUGGAAAGGUAAAAAGUACAUGAAUGUCUGUGCUAACGUAUCCUACUGGGCCUGCCUAAUGUCAGGAAACACGGGUUGCCUUUUCCAAGGGCCCAGUGGCGAAAAUCUGCAACUCUGAGCUAUCCAGAGCCAAUUCAUAAGCAGAUAUAAUGUGCAUUUUGGAAGCAGCUGUAGUGUCAGGAUCAAGGACUGUUUGGUCCGGAAUUUUUAAGCAGGUCUAGGUGGCAGAGGGAUAGAACUAGUUCAUCUGCACCAGCUUUUUCAAACUCAGAGCUAAAUGGUGCCUGGAGAAGGCAUCCUCUAGUUUCCUCACUUCCCCUUCUACUAUCGGGAUUCUGUUUACCCCAUUGUUUUGUACUUGUCUUUGCCUGUGAUGCUGAACCUCCCACUUCUGAUGUAGUACACUCUGCGAUUCAAGAGAGUAGGUCUCUUUCCUGCCAAGACCACCUCAGCAUAUUGAUUAGAGGAAAGAUCAAAAAUAGUCAUGGCUUUUGAAAAUACAGUGCUUCUCUUUGAAAGGCUCCACUGAACAGCAGGGAAGAGAUUAAAAAAAAAAAAGAAAAAAGGUGAAGCAAAAGAACAUCAGAGAGAGGCAGACACACAGCUGAAAAUCUUUCUUCUCUGUUCUUGGUCUUUUUGUGUCUGUUCUUAUUUCUUUCACAGCCCACACAUUUGCUGCCUCCCCUUGUCUUUAAUUUUCACACUCUCAAUUCUUCACUCACUUUUUCUUCCUCUUUUAACCUUAGACUACCAACAGUUAAAGGACAAGAGGGCCCCCCCGUCCACAAUGACCAGCUGAAACAAACUGGUGGUAAUGAUCAAUGGUGACAGUCUCUACCAAGAGCUACACUAAUGGACUCUGACAGCAUGGUAAUAACUUGUGUAUUUAAAGAGGACACCUUCCAAGUUCACUACACAGCAUUAAGUCCUUCAUAGGAAUCAAAAUAUUGCUUUUAUGGAGGAUAAUUUAUAACAAAAAUACAACAUUAUAGAAAAUUUUAAAAAGGAAAGAAACCAUUUGCAAUUCUCUCGUUCUGUCUUAAAACUUAUCACUUCAAUCUAUUCUCUUCUAAAUUUUCCAUAUAUACAUUUUGUGCAUUUUAAAUCACAGUGCAUGCAUAAUUUUGUACCAAUUAAAAUUAUUAUUAAAAUAAUAACUGCAAAUUUCUAAGUUGGUAAAUAGUCUUCAUAGUUUCUAAAAAUUGAUUGAUUCCAGAGUUCCCAUCGUGGCUCAGUGAUUAACGAAUUCGACUAGGAACCAUGAGGUUGAGGGUUCGAUCCCUGGCCUUACUCAGUGGGUUGAGGAUCCAGCGUUGCCGUGAGCUGUGGUAUAGGUCACAGACACGGCUCGGAUCCCGAGUUGCUGUGGUGUAGGCUGGCAGCUACAGCUCCGAUUAGACCCCCCAGCCUGGGACCUCCAUAUGCCAUGGGAGUGGCCCUAGAAAAGACAAAAAAAUUUUAAAAAUUACAAAAAUUAAAAUUGUAUGAUUCCAUUGAAUGAAAUAUUUACACAGUUCACAUGAACAUUCUGUUCCAAUACUAAAUCUUUCAACCGUUUGAAUAGAACUCUGGCAAGUAUAUUCAUGCAUCUAACACUUUCACAUUUCAGAUUAUUUUUAUAGAUUAUCAUCCCAGAAGAGGUAUUAAUGUGUCAAAGGAGGUAACCACUUUAUGACACCUAACACAUAUUAUCAAAUUUCACAUCAUGGCUUUCCCUAAAAAAAAAGUUUCCAGUACCUUCCUCAUGCAAAGCGUUUUGUUAGCUUUUGAGGAAGAAAUGAGAAAAAAGAAUGUAUACAUGUAUAUGUAACUGGGUCGCCAUGCUGUACAGUAGAAAAAAAAAUUGUAUUGGGGAAAUAAGAAUAAAAAAGUUUUAAAAAAAUACACUCUUUGCCCUGAAAAUCAUGUAGUCCAUUUGGGGAAAUAAGACAUAUGCCUGUGAAGAGAGAACUAAUUAUCAACUACACAGAUUCAGAGAAGAAAGACCAAGAUCAAAUUUCGGCAGCAGUGGCUCAAGAGUUAGAUCUUUAAUUGAGUCUGAGGACAGUCCUCGGGUUGGGUGAGUUGAACUGGGAGGAUAUCCAGCUGGUAAAUAGUGUGACAAGGAAGGAAAUUAAGCAAUCUAAGGAAUUCCCUGUGACUCAAAAGCACCAUGUGAAUAAAUUUAAUUUAUUAGCCAGAUACACAUGGAUUACAAUCUCCCCAAAGGUAGUUCUGUUACCAGUAAUAGGGUUACUCAUCCUUAUCCUUGAAACUUUUUCUUCUCUUAUUACAUCUGAUGUGAUGAUAUAGAGGUUUCCCUUCUCUGCCUCUAACCAGUCCUCUUCUCUCUUUUAAGUUCCUCUAACAAUCCUUUUAAAUAAGGCAUUUCUCAAAGUCCUCCUCUAGUCCUUUUCUUCCUGUAGGUAAUGUCACUUGAUCUGCUGUCUCCAGCCAUUACUUCUUGUUGCUAACUCCUCAAUCUCUAUUUCAGGCUCUCAAUUCUCCUUUUUAGUCUGAUACAUUUCCACCUUCCACUGACAGCAUUUGAAAUCCAACAAGUCCAAAACUGAACUCUUUCUGUGUGCUCCCAAUCAUGUGAAAGAAGCUACACAGUUCAGAAGCAACAUCAUCUUUGAUAUUUGUUUCAUCCUCACAGUUCACAUUCAAUCAAGUUUCCAAAUUUGGCCCCAGCCUCACAGUGGAUCCCAAUUUCUUCUUACUGUAGGCCAUAAAAAUCUCUCACCUAGAAUACUGUGAGGAUUCCUUUCUGAUCUGAUUGCCUCCAGCCUCAUCCCCUUCGAUCUGUGCUCUACCCCAUUACCAGGUACCUUCCUAAAGCACAUAACCGAUUGUGUCACUUGUCUAUGUAAGGACUUCCAAUAGGUGCAGUCACCUGGAAGAGUGAAUUCCAGAUACAUUAACUUAUCUCCUCUGGUCCUUUAUGACUUGGGCCCACUCUACUUCUCUAAUUCCAUCUCCCCACACUACACCUGUCUACACACACCUACCCACCCACACACACACUGCACUUUGGACCAUUUAAAAUUCACUGAAAACAAACAUGGACUUUAACCCAGAUGAACAUUUUCUUCUGCAGUUUCCUUUGAGUUGAACACUCUCACACACUCUGGUCUACUGAAACCUGAUAUGU
This 5005-nucleotide long non-coding RNA is filed under the name Sus scrofa (pig). RNAcentral's name for it is "lncRNA (ENSSSCG00055018954.1)". Lineage: Eukaryota; Metazoa; Chordata; Mammalia; Artiodactyla; Suidae. The record is from RNAcentral.